This 253-nucleotide ribosomal RNA is filed under the name uncultured bacterium. Its description in RNAcentral is "partial 16S ribosomal RNA". It matches the Rfam family "Bacterial small subunit ribosomal RNA", at positions 524 to 776 of the family's 1533-position model. The record is from RNAcentral.
UACAGAGGGUGCAAACGUUGUUCGGAAUUACUGGGCGUAAAGCGCGUGUAGGCGGCCCUGCAAGUCGGAUGUGAAAUCCCACGGCUCAACCGUGGAAGUGCAUUCGAAACUGCGGGGCUGGAGUACUGGAGAGGAAGGUGGAAUGCUCGGUGUAGAGGUGAAAUUCGUAGAUAUCGAGAGGAACACCGGUGGCGAAGGCGGCCUUCUGGACAGUGACUGACGCUGAGACGCGAAAGCGUGGGGAGCAAACAGG